Molecule: ribosomal RNA, 502 nt
Filed under: uncultured bacterium
Lineage: Bacteria
Description: partial 16S ribosomal RNA
Rfam family: Bacterial small subunit ribosomal RNA
Source: RNAcentral
GACGAACGCUGGCGGCGUGCCUAAUACAUGCAAGUCGAACGAACCGCGACUAAGUGCUUGCACUAAGUCAAGGUGAGUGGCGAACGGGUGAGUAACACGUGGGUAACCUACCUCAUAGUGGGGGAUAACAGUCGGAAACGACUGCUAAUACCGCAUAGGACAUAGGAUCACAUGAUCCAGUGAGGAAAGGUGGCGCAAGCUAUCGCUAAGAGAUGGACCCGCGGUGCAUUAGCUAGUUGGUAGGGUAAAGGCCUACCAAGGCGAUGAUGCAUAGCCGACCUGAGAGGGUGGUCGGCCACAUUGGGACUGAGACACGGCCCAAACUCCUACGGGAGGCAGCAGUAGGGAAUCUUCCGCAAUGGACGCAAGUCUGACGGAGCAACGCCGCGUGAGUGAAGAAGGUCUUCGGAUCGUAAAGCUCUGUUGUUAGAGAAGAACAGCGCAUAGAGUAACUGCUAUGCGUGUGACGGUAUCUAACCAGAAAGCCACGGCUAACUACGUG